RNAcentral lists this long non-coding RNA (213 nucleotides) under Mytilus galloprovincialis (Mediterranean mussel). The record is from RNAcentral. Lineage: Eukaryota; Metazoa; Mollusca; Bivalvia; Mytilida; Mytilidae.
GACCAAAAUGACACAGACAUUAACAACUAUAGGUCACCGUACGGCCUUCAACAAUGAGCAAAGCCCAUACCGAAUAGUCAGCUAUAAUAGGCCCCGAUAAGACAAUUAAUGUAAAACAAUUCAAAUGAGAAAACUAACGGCCUUAUUUAUGUAAAAAAAUGAACGAAAAACAAAUGUGUAACACAUAAACAAACGACAACCACUGAAUUACAG